This 529-nucleotide ribosomal RNA is filed under the name uncultured archaeon. RNAcentral describes it as "bacterial SSU rRNA". It matches the Rfam family "Archaeal small subunit ribosomal RNA", at positions 96 to 627 of the family's 1478-position model. The record is from RNAcentral.
ACACGUAGAUAAUUUGCCCUUAGGUGGAGGAUACCCUCGGGAAACUGAGAAUAAUACUCCAUAGAUCUAGACUGCUGGAAUGCUUUUAGAUUGAAAGAUUUAUCGCCUAAGGAUAAGUCUGCGGACUAUCAGGUAGUAGUCAGGGUAAAUACCUGACUAGCCUAUGACGGAUACGGGUAGUGAGAGCUUUAGCCCGGAGAUGAUAUCUGAGACACGAUAUCAGGCCCUACGGGGCGCAGCAGGCGCGAAAACUUCGCACUGUGCGAAAGCACGACGAGGGGAUCCCAAGUGCUGGCUCGUAAGAGUCAGCUGUUUCUCUGUCUAAAAAACAGGGAGAGUAAGAGCUGGGUAAGACGGGUGCCAGCCGCCGCGGUAAUACCUGCAGCUCAAGUGGUGGCCGCUAUUAUUGGGCCUAAAACGUCCGUAGCCGGUUCUAUAAAUGCCUGGAUAAAUCGUACGGCUUAACCGUACGAAUUCCGGGUAGACUGUUUAACUUGGGACCGGGAGAGGCUAGAGGUACUCCUGGGGU